This 255-nucleotide ribosomal RNA is filed under the name uncultured bacterium. Its description in RNAcentral is "partial 16S ribosomal RNA". It matches the Rfam family "Bacterial small subunit ribosomal RNA", at positions 524 to 776 of the family's 1533-position model. The record is from RNAcentral.
UACGGGGGGAGCAAGCGUUGUUCGGAUUUACUGGGCGUAAAGGGCGCGUAGGCGGCCACCGCAAGUCGACUGUGAAAUCUCCGGGCUUAACUCGGAAAGGUCAGCCAAUACUGCGGGGCUAGAGUGCAGAAGGGGCAACUGGAAUUCUCGGUGUAGCGGUGAAAUGCGUAGAUAUCGAGAGGAACACCUGCGGCGAAGGCGGGUUGCUGGGCUGACACUGACGCUGAUUGUGCGAAAGCUAGGGGAGCGAACGGG